This 1177-nucleotide long non-coding RNA is filed under the name Macaca fascicularis (crab-eating macaque). Its description in RNAcentral is "lncRNA (ENSMFAG00000061340.1)". Lineage: Eukaryota; Metazoa; Chordata; Mammalia; Primates; Cercopithecidae. The record is from RNAcentral.
AGUGCAGUUGAAGAUUUUCCCAUUUGUUUGCUGGAAUCUUCCUUCUCACUCCAAGUCUUCUUAUUUUCAGGAGGUGUCACCUUCUAUGUAAUAUCACUUGGAUACUGAAACUUCUCCAUGAACUGGAAGAAUGUAUGCUUCAGUGUGAAAUAGAAGAAAGAAGCUUACAAUGUCCACCCAAUUUACUAAGAAACAGACGAGUUUUGGAGGUUUAGAAUGAUGUGGUUUGGACCAAAAGAUAUGAUUGGUAAGUGUCACAAAAGUGCCAUGUAAAUCUGGAAGAUGGUACUUUUGCAGAUGCCUGAAAUAGUCCCAGCCCAGCAAACCCAGUUGAUAAUGAGUAUCUUUUGUCAACAGAGGAGGCCUCCUGAAACUAAUUCAUAAAAAUAGUUAACAGUGGACCAAGUGCUUUCAACCACAGGAUGUUGAGGAUUUUUCACUAUAGCCUGAACUUUUAGAAAUAACAUUUGUCAAUGUUGUUUUUAUAAGAUGAUUGAUUAUUUUAGUUAGCAAGAACUUAACAAACACCUACACUAGAUGGAUCAGUAACACAAACAUGAAAACAGGCUUAGUUUUGGGUAUGAGGCACACCCAGAUUCAAAUGGCUUCUAGGGAGCACACUUGGUUGUUGGUUUGAAAGUUAAUCCAACACAAAAAUAUCUUUCUGAACAAAAUUUCUGUACAUAAGAAAAAAUAUAAACCCAGAAUUAUAGCAAUGGAAACACAAAUUUCAGUUUCUACAAAAAUAGUUUUUUAAAGAUCAUAGAAGAUGAAAAAAUUAAAAAGGAAACAUACUGGCAUAUUGGAAUUGUAUGGCUAAUUUUUCUCAUUUUAUAUUUAAAGAAACUUAGGCUCAGGUAGGGAAGGGACUUUUUUGAAGUAACAGAGUAAAAAAUUUCAUAAAAUUCCAACUUUUUAACUCCAAGUCUAGUAUGUUGCUCCUUUCUCUCCUAAUCUUCAUUGUUUUCCUAUUGCCUUCCUGCUACUGGUAACAGUUUUGAGUUUUUUUGUACUGAGGCACUGACGAGGCCAGGAGAAAGUGCACAGGAAGUCAUCAUUUGCCUGCACAUAAGCAACCAGGCUUUUUAUUCCCUCAGUUGAAAAUGCAGGCUGUUUUUUAGUUGGGUGACAUAGCAAUUAAAACAUUCUAUAUGACUAAACAUUCUGGUCACCUCUA